This 935-nucleotide long non-coding RNA is filed under the name Hordeum vulgare. RNAcentral's name for it is "long non-coding RNA (HVUL_LNC006020)". Lineage: Eukaryota; Viridiplantae; Streptophyta; Magnoliopsida; Poales; Poaceae. The record is from RNAcentral.
AAUUGACGGUACGAAACUCAAUCAAAGAGACCGAGGAGAAGUUGCUAAACUCGUUCCUUAUACAUAAAAAAGGAAAUAAUCUUUCCUUACAACUUCAAGUGAGUCUUGUCGUCUUCUCUCUAAACUCGGUUUCGCUCACUCGAGGUUAAUUAAGUAAUGUAACUGAUGAGUUAUAUAUGCGUGCGCAGAGACCACUUUAUUCUGUUAUCCAUUGACAUUGGCAGGGCACUAGUAAAUGUCUUAGACUCGAGACGUAAAGUCGAAGAGGAUUAUGAGGACAUUAAUGCAAUGCUCAAGAAGUAAGUUCAGUCAAUAUACCGAGACCAUAUCGGCAUGCAACUUUCGUUAAUUUCCUGAUAUCAAGUAAUCAUUUUCUUUGCCUCGCAGGGUUUGGACGAAGUUCGCCAAUAAGGUUCUCGGUCUAAACAAAGAGUUGUAAUUUACGCACCCCAAAGUAAGUAGUACUAGCUAGUUCCACGCAUCUCUAAUUGGUUCAAAUUUUCAUCAAUAUAUCAUUACCAUGCUUGCUUAUCAGUUUGAUUGAACUCUAUUAUCGUAAAGUGUAUGUACCAGAAAGAAGACACUGUUUUAUGUGCAUACUACAUAUGCGAGUUCAUUCGCCACUCGACCUCUCACCGGGUCUUCUCCGAGAAACAAUUGCAAGUACGUAAAUAAUAUUCACAAUUGUGUUGAGUUUUAUUCAUAUAUAUGCAUGUAUUGACCCCCUUCUUUAAAUUAGAUAUGCGAGAUGCGGGAUCAAUUCCUACCAUAUGAUCGCAUACGAGCAACUCAAGAGGAAUUGGCGAGAUUCUUUGUUGACCACGUCAUACCUAAACACGGAGAAUGCCAUGUGGAUUUGUCAUUGGAUCUUAAUUAGAUGAUGUUUUGGAUUAAUUGUAAAAGAUGUUAUAUUAUAUAUAUGUAAUAGCGUCGGA